RNAcentral lists this ribosomal RNA (924 nucleotides) under uncultured bacterium. Its description in RNAcentral is "bacterial SSU rRNA". It matches the Rfam family "Bacterial small subunit ribosomal RNA", at positions 8 to 914 of the family's 1533-position model. The record is from RNAcentral.
AGAGUUUGAUCCUGGCUCAGGAUGAACGCUAGCGACAGGCUUAACACAUGCAAGUCGAGGGGCAGCGGAGGCGAGUGCUUGCACUUGCCAGACGGCGACCGGCGCACGGGUGAGUAACACGUAUGCGACCUGCCCGUAGCAGGGGGAUAAGCGGAAGAAAUUCCGUCUAAUACCGCGUAAUAUCUUUCGGGGGCAUCCUUGAGGGAUUAAAGGAAGCGAUUCCGGCUACGGAUGGGCAUGCGGCGCAUUAGCUAGUCGGCGGGGUAACGGCCCACCGAGGCGACGAUGCGUAGGGGUUCUGAGAGGAAGGUCCCCCACACUGGUACUGAGACACGGACCAGACUCCUACGGGAGGCAGCAGUGAGGAAUAUUGGUCAAUGGGCGAGAGCCUGAACCAGCCAAGUCGCGUGAGGGAAGACGGUCCUAUGGAUUGUAAACCUCUUUUGUCGGGGAGCAAAAAGGCCUCGUGAGGCCACAAGUGAGAGUACCCGAAGAAAAAGCAUCGGCUAACUCCGUGCCAGCAGCCGCGGUAAUACGGAGGAUGCGAGCGUUAUCCGGAUUUAUUGGGUUUAAAGGGUGCGUAGGCGGACUGGAAAGUCAGCGGUAAAAUCGAGAGGCUCAACCUCUUUCCGCCGUUGAAACUGUCGGUCUUGAGUGGGCGAGAAGUAUGCGGAAUGCGUGGUGUAGCGGUGAAAUGCAUAGAUAUCACGCAGAACUCCGAUUGCGAAGGCAGCAUACCGGCGCCCAACUGACGCUGAGGCACGAAAGCGUGGGUAUCGAACAGGAUUAGAUACCCUGGUAGUCCACGCAGUAAACGAUGAAUACUAAUUGUCCGGUCAGAAUGAUGACUGGGUGAUACAGCGAAAGCGUUAAGUAUUCCACCUGGGGAGUACGCCGGCAACGGUGAAACUCAAAGGAAUUGAC